UAACGAAUCUUCCGCAAUGGGCGCAAGCCUGACGGAGCAAUGCCGCGUGUGGGAUGAAGCGUCUCUGACGUGUAAACCACUGUCAGGGGUUAGAAACAAUGAUCAACCCCAAAGGAAGUGGCGACUAACUCUGUGCCAGCAGUCGCGGUAAUACAGAGGCCACAAGCGUUAGUCGGAAUCACUGGGCUUAAAGGGUGCGUAGGCUGGUCCGCAAGCGUCUUGUGAAAGCCCUCGGCUCAACCGAGGAACAGCAGGGCGAACUGCGGAUCUUGAGGCAGGUAGGGGUCGCGAGAACAGUAGGUGGAGCGGUGAAAUGCGUAGAUAUCUACUGGAAUGCCGAUGGUGAAGACGCGCGACUGGGCCUGUCCUGACGCUGAGGCACGAAAGCGUGGGGAGCAAACAGGAUUAGAUACCCGGGUAGUCCCUGAGCGGGCUGGCAAGGCGCAU
RNAcentral lists this ribosomal RNA (447 nucleotides) under uncultured bacterium. RNAcentral describes it as "bacterial SSU rRNA". It matches the Rfam family "Bacterial small subunit ribosomal RNA", at positions 355 to 825 of the family's 1533-position model. The record is from RNAcentral.